This 253-nucleotide ribosomal RNA is filed under the name uncultured bacterium. Its description in RNAcentral is "partial 16S ribosomal RNA". It matches the Rfam family "Bacterial small subunit ribosomal RNA", at positions 524 to 776 of the family's 1533-position model. The record is from RNAcentral.
UACGGGGGGGGCAAGCGUUGUUCGGAGUUACUGGGCGUAAAGAGUGCGUAGGCGGUUUUCUAAGUUUGGUGUGAAAUCUCCCGGCUUAACUGGGAGGGUGCGCCGAAGACUGGAAGGCUUGAGUAUGGGAGAGGUAAGCGGAAUUCCUGGUGUAGCGGUGAAAUGCGUAGAUAUCAGGAGGAACACCUGCGGUGUAGACGGCUUACUGGACCAUAACUGACGCUGAGGCACGAAAGCGUGGGUAGCAAACAGG